RNAcentral lists this ribosomal RNA (164 nucleotides) under uncultured bacterium. Its description in RNAcentral is "partial 16S ribosomal RNA". It matches the Rfam family "Bacterial small subunit ribosomal RNA", at positions 355 to 511 of the family's 1533-position model. The record is from RNAcentral.
UAGGGAAUCUUCCACAAUGGGCGCAAGCCUGAUGGAGCAACACCGCGUGAGUGAAGAAGGGUUUCGGCUCGUAAAGCUCUGUUGUUAAAGAAGAACACGUAUGAGAGUAACUGUUCAUACGUUGACGGUAUUUAACCAGAAAGUCACGGCUAACUACGUGACAG